CAUGGAGGGUGAGAAUCCCGUUCGGUUGACCUUAUGACGCUCUACGAUACGCUCUCUAAGAGUCGAGUUGUUUGGGAUUGCAGCUCAAAAUGGGAGGUAAAUUUCUCCUAAGGCUAAAUAUCGGCGAGAGACCGAUAGCGAACAAGUACCGUGAGGGAAAGAUGAAAAGAACUUUGAAAAGAGAGUAAAAUAGUACGUGAAAUUGUUGAAAGGGAAACGAUUGAAGUCAGUCGUACCGACGAGAAAUCAACUUAUCGUGUGCGAACUUGUGGGCGUGCGUGAGUUUCGGCCUCGCUGUUUGCAUGUUUGUGCGUUUUGGGUGUACUUUUUCGUAUGGUAGGCCAACGUCAGUUUCGAUUAUCAUAAAAUGACCGGCGGAAUGUAGCUUCGAUUUCGGUUGAAGUGUUAUAGCCUCUGGUAGAUGUGGUGAUUGAGACUGAGGAUUGCAACGAAUACCCUUUGGGCUAUCCGUCUGGCCUCUGAAAGUUGCUCAGGUGCCGAAAGCGUGCUUACGGUUAUCUAAGAUAACGUUCAACAGGUUAGAACGUGAUUACAUUCGUUAAGGAUGUUGACGUA
RNAcentral lists this ribosomal RNA (576 nucleotides) under uncultured Glomus. Its description in RNAcentral is "eukaryotic LSU rRNA". It matches the Rfam family "Eukaryotic large subunit ribosomal RNA", at positions 204 to 633 of the family's 3401-position model. Lineage: Eukaryota; Fungi; Glomeromycota; Glomeromycetes; Glomerales; Glomeraceae. The record is from RNAcentral.